UUUCCGUAGGUGAACCUGCGGAAGGAUCAUUCAUAAUAAGUGUUUUAUGGCACUUUUUUAAAUCCAUAUCCACCUUGUGUGCAAUGUCAGGGUUGGUCUGUUUUGAUCAGCCCCAAACAUCAACUAUUAUCUCAACUCUUUGUCUGAAAAAUAUUAUGAAUAAAACAAUUCAAAAUACAACUUUCAACAACGGAUCUCUUGGCUCCC
This 207-nucleotide unclassified non-coding RNA is filed under the name plant metagenome. Its description in RNAcentral is "partial contains small subunit ribosomal RNA, internal transcribed spacer 1, and 5.8S ribosomal RNA". The record is from RNAcentral.